GAUGAACGCUGGCGGCGUGCCUAAUACAUGCAAGUCGAGCGAACGGACGAGAAGCUUGCUUUUCUGAUGUUAGCGGCGGACGGGUGAGUAACACGUGGAUAACCUACCUAUAAGACUGGGAUAACUUCGGGAAACCGGAGCUAAUACCGGAUAAUAUUUUGAACCGCAUGGUUCAAAAGUGAAAGACGGUCUUGCUGUCACUUAUAGAUGGAUCCGCGCUGCAUUAGCUAGUUGGUAAGGUAACGGCUUACCAAGGCAACGAUGCAUAGCCGACCUGAGGGGGUGAUCGGCCACACUGGAACUGAGACACGGUCCAGACUCCUACGGGAGGCAGCAGUAGGGAAUCUUCCGCAAUGGGCGAAAGCCUGACGGAGCAACGCCGCGUGAGUGAUGAAGGUCUUCGGAUCGUAAAACUCUGUUAUUAGGGAAGAACAUAUGUGUAAGUAACUGUGCACAUCUUGACGGUACCUAAUCAGAAAGCCACGGCUAACUAUGUG
RNAcentral lists this ribosomal RNA (497 nucleotides) under uncultured bacterium. Its description in RNAcentral is "partial 16S ribosomal RNA". It matches the Rfam family "Bacterial small subunit ribosomal RNA", at positions 28 to 507 of the family's 1533-position model. The record is from RNAcentral.